RNAcentral lists this ribosomal RNA (253 nucleotides) under uncultured bacterium. RNAcentral describes it as "partial 16S ribosomal RNA". It matches the Rfam family "Bacterial small subunit ribosomal RNA", at positions 524 to 776 of the family's 1533-position model. The record is from RNAcentral.
UACGUAGGGAGCAAGCGUUGUCCGGAUUCACUGGGCGUAAAGGGUGCGCAGGCGGCUCGGUAAGUCAGAGGUGAAAUCUCACAGCUCAACUGUGAAACUGCCUUUGAUACUGCUGAUCUUGAGUUAGGGAGAGGUUGAUGGAAUUCCAGGUGUAGCAGUGAAAUGCGUAGAUAUCUGGAAGAACACCAGUGGCGAAGGCGGACAACUGGCCCUAAACUGGCGCUGAGGCGCGAAAGCGAGGGGAUCAAACAGG